Molecule: ribosomal RNA, 497 nt
Filed under: uncultured bacterium
Lineage: Bacteria
Description: bacterial SSU rRNA
Rfam family: Bacterial small subunit ribosomal RNA
Source: RNAcentral
GAGGGGCAGCGAGUAGAUUGCUUGCAAUCUACGUCGGCGACCGGCGCACGGGUGCGUAACGCGUAUGCAACCUACCCAUUACAGGGGGAUAACACUGAGAAAUCGGUACUAAUACCCCAUAACAUCCAGGGAGGCAUCUUCUUGGGUUGAAAACUCCGGUGGUAAUGGAUGGGCAUGCGUUGUAUUAGUUAGUUGGUGGGGUAACGGCUCACCAAGACGACGAUACAUAGGGGGACUGAGAGGUUAACCCCCCACAUUGGUACUGAGACACGGACCAAACUCCUACGGGAGGCAGCAGUGAGGAAUAUUGGUCAAUGGACGCAAGUCUGAACCAGCCAUGCCGCGUGCAGGAAGACGGCUCUAUGAGUUGUAAACUGCUUUUGUACGAGGGUAAACGCAGAUACGUGUAUCUGUCUGAAAGUAUCGUACGAAUAAGGAUCGGCUAACUCCGUGCCAGCAGCCGCGGUAAUACGGAGGAUUCAAGCGUUAUCCGGAUU